UAUCCCGAGGUGAGCGAGAGAACUGUUGCCAAGGAACUCGGCAAAAUGACUCCGUAAGUUAGCGAGAAGGAGUGCUUAAGCAAUUAAGCCGCAGUGAAGAGGCCCAAGCGACUGUUUAACUAAACACAGCUCUCUGCGAAGUCGCAAGACGAAGUAUAGGGGGUGACACCUGCCCGGUGCUGGAAGGUUAAGAGGAUCUGUUAAGAGCGAUCUGAAGCAGUGAUCCGAAGCCCCAGUGAACGGCGGCCGUAACGAUAACGGUCCUAAGGUAGCGAAAUUCCUUGUCAGGUAAGUUCUGACCCGCACGAAAGGUGUAACGAUUUGGGCGCUGUCUCGGCAGCAGACUCGGUGAAAUCUUAGUACCUGUGAAAAUGCAGGUUACCCGCAACUAGACGGAAAGACCCCAUGGAGCUUUACUGCAGCCUGAUAUUGAAUUCUGGUCAUACAUGUACAGGAUAGGUGGGAGACAAAGAGACGUGCACGCCAGUGUACGAGGAGUCGACGUUGGGAUACCACUCUUGUGUGACCGGGGUUCUAACCUGGUAUCGAGAACAGGUACGGGGAGAGUGUCAGGUGGGCAGUUUGACUGGGGCGGUCGCCUCCCAAAGAGUAACGGAGGCGCCCAAAGGUACGCUCAGAUUGGAUGGAAACCAAUCGACGAGUGCAAUUGCAGAAGCGUGCUUGACUGUGAGACAAACAAGUCGAACAGGGACGAAAGUCGGGAAUAGUGAUCCGGCGGUGCCGAAUGGAAGGGCCGUCGCUCAACGGAUAAAAGCUACCCUGGGGAUAACAGGCUGAUCUCGCCCAAGAGUUCACAUCGACGGCGAGGUUUGGCACCUCGAUGUCGGCUCAUCGCAUCCUGGAGCUGGAUUCGGUUCCAAGGGUUGGGCUGUCCGCCCAUUAAAGCGGUACGCGAGCUGGGUUCAGAACGUCGUGAGACAGUUCGGUCCCUAUCUGUUGUGGGCGAAGGAGAUCUGCGGAGAGCUGUCCUCAGUACGAGAGGACCGGGAUGGACCUACCGCUGGUGCACCGGUUGUUCCGCCAGGGGCAUAGCCGGGUAGCUAAGUAGGGAAAGGAUAAGCGCUGAAAGCAUCUAAGCACGAAGCCUACUCCAAGAUAAGAUCUCCCAUUCGCAAGAAGUAAGACCCCUUAAAGACGAUAAGGUAGAUAGGCCAGGGAUGGAAGUGCAGUGAUGUACGGAGUUGACUGGUACUAAUCGGUCGAGGACGAA
RNAcentral lists this ribosomal RNA (1231 nucleotides) under metagenome. RNAcentral describes it as "bacterial LSU rRNA". It matches the Rfam family "Bacterial large subunit ribosomal RNA", at positions 1677 to 2925 of the family's 2925-position model. The record is from RNAcentral.